GACGAACGCUGGCGGCGUGCCUAAUACAUGCAAGUAGAACGCUGAAGAGAGGAGCUUGCUCUUCUUGGAAGAGUUACGAACGGGUGAGUAACGCGUAGGUAACCUGCCUUGUAGCGGGGGAUAACUAUUGGAAACGAUAGCUAAUACCGCAUAACAAUGGGUGACCCAUGUCAUUCAUUUGAAAGGGGCAACUGCUCCACUACAAGAUGGACCUGCGUUGUAUUAGCUAGUAGGUGAGGUAACGGCUCACCUAGGCGACGAUACAUAGCCGACCUGAGAGGGUGAUCGGCCACACUGGGACUGAGACACGGCCCAGACUCCUACGGGAGGCAGCAGUAGGGAAUCUUCGGCAAUGGGGGCAACCCUGACCGAGCAACGCCGCGUGAGUGAAGAAGGUUUUCGGAUCGUAAAGCUCUGUUGUAAGUCAAGAACGAGUGUGAGAGUGGAAAGUUCACACUGUGACGGUAGCUUACCAGAAAGGGACGGCUAACUACGUGCCAGCAGCCGCGGUAAUACGUAGGUCCCGAGCGUUGUCCGGAUUUAUUGGGCGUAAAGCGAGCGCAGGCGGUUUGAUAAGUCUGAAGUUAAAGGCUGUGGCUCAACCAUAGUUCGCUUUGGAAACUGUCAAACUUGAGUGCAGAAGGGGAGAGUGGAAUUCCAUGUGUAGCGGUGAAAUGCGUAGAUAUAUGGAGGAACACCGGUGGCGAAAGCGGCUCUCUGGUCUGUAACUGACGCUGAGGCUCGAAAGCGUGGGGAGCGAACAGG
Molecule: ribosomal RNA, 765 nt
Filed under: uncultured Streptococcus sp.
Lineage: Bacteria; Bacillati; Bacillota; Bacilli; Lactobacillales; Streptococcaceae
Description: bacterial SSU rRNA
Rfam family: Bacterial small subunit ribosomal RNA
Source: RNAcentral